This 403-nucleotide ribosomal RNA is filed under the name Bacillus cereus. Its description in RNAcentral is "bacterial SSU rRNA". It matches the Rfam family "Bacterial small subunit ribosomal RNA", at positions 547 to 951 of the family's 1533-position model. Lineage: Bacteria; Bacillati; Bacillota; Bacilli; Caryophanales; Bacillaceae. The record is from RNAcentral.
GAUUAUUGGGCGUAAGCGCGCGCAGGUGGUUUCUUAAGUCUGAUGUGAAAGCCCACGGCUCAACCGUGGAGGGUCAUUGGAAACUGGGAGACUUGAGUGCAGAAGAGGAAAGUGGAAUUCCAUGUGUAGCGGUGAAAUGCGUAGAGAUAUGGAGGAACACCAGUGGCGAAGGCGACUUUCUGGUCUGUAACUGACACUGAGGCGCGAAAGCGUGGGGAGCAAACAGGAUUAGAUACCCUGGUAGUCCACGCCGUAAACGAUGAGUGCUAAGUGUUAGAGGGUUUCCGCCCUUUAGUGCUGAAGUUAACGCAUUAAGCACUCCGCCUGGGGAGUACGGCCGCAAGGCUGAAACUCAAAGGAAUUGACGGGGGCCCGCACAAGCGGUGGAGCAUGUGGUUUAUUU